GCCCGGGUGGUGUAGGGGUCUAUCAUGGAGCCCUGUCGAGGCUCCGACUCGGGUUCAAAUCCCGACCCGGGCG
This 73-nucleotide transfer RNA is filed under the name Methanomicrobia archaeon. RNAcentral's name for it is "tRNA-Asp". It matches the Rfam family "tRNA". From Rfam's summary of the family: Transfer RNA (tRNA) molecules are approximately 80 nucleotides in length. Their secondary structure includes four short double-helical elements and three loops (D, anti-codon, and T loops). RNAcentral also lists the same sequence under 1 other name. Lineage: Archaea; Methanobacteriati; Methanobacteriota; Methanomicrobia. The record is from RNAcentral.